RNAcentral lists this ribosomal RNA (393 nucleotides) under uncultured bacterium. RNAcentral describes it as "partial 16S ribosomal RNA". It matches the Rfam family "Bacterial small subunit ribosomal RNA", at positions 523 to 918 of the family's 1533-position model. The record is from RNAcentral.
AUACGGAGGAUGCAAGCGUUAUCCGGAUUUAUUGGGUUUAAAGGGUGCGUAGGCGGACAGUCAAGCAGGGGGUGAAAUGCCGGCGCUCAACGCCGGAGCUGCCUUCUGAACUGGCUGUCUGGAGUGGCAGUGCCGUUGGAGGAAUGAGUGGGGUAGCGGUGAAAUGCUUAGAUAUCACUCAGAACACCGAUUGCGUAGGCAGCUGACCAGACCGCAAAUGACGCUCAUGCACGAAAGCGUGGGUAUCAAACAGGAUUAGAUACCCUGGUAGUCCACGCUGUAAACGAUGAUUACUGGUUGUUUGCGAUACAUUGCAAGUGACUGAGCGAAAGCAUUAAGUAAUCCACCUGGGGGGUACGUCGGCAACGAUGAAACUCAAAGGAAUUGACGGGG